CUACGGGGUGCUGCAGUGAGGAAUAUUGCGCAAUGGGGGAAACCCUGACGCAGCGACGCCGCGUGGAUGAUGAAGGCCUUCGGGUCGUAAAAUCCUGUCAGAAGGAAAGAAGUGUAUGGUAGCUAAUAUCUGCCAUACUUGACGGUACCUUCAAAGGAAGCACCGGCUAACUCCGUGCCAGCAGCCGCGGUAAUACGGAGGGUGCAAGCGUUGUUCGGAAUUACUGGGCGUAAAGCGCGCGUAGGCGGUUUUAUAAGUCAGAUGUGAAAGUCCACGGCUCAACCAUGGAAGUGCAUUUGAAACUGUAAGACUAGAGUAUUGGAGGGGGUAGUGGAAUUCCCGGUGUAGAGGUGAAAUUCGUAGAUAUCGGGAGGAAUACCGGUGGCGAAGGCGACUAUCUGGCCAAAUACUGACGCUGAGGUGCGAAAGCGUGGGGAGCAAACAGGAUUAGAUACCCCUGUAGUC
This 465-nucleotide ribosomal RNA is filed under the name uncultured bacterium. Its description in RNAcentral is "partial 16S ribosomal RNA". It matches the Rfam family "Bacterial small subunit ribosomal RNA", at positions 339 to 795 of the family's 1533-position model. The record is from RNAcentral.